Molecule: long non-coding RNA, 258 nt
Organism: Sander lucioperca (pikeperch)
Lineage: Eukaryota; Metazoa; Chordata; Actinopteri; Perciformes; Percidae
Exons: 3
Source: RefSeq, a predicted model, not a curated record
GUCAAAAACGUUUAUGUCACAACAUCCAGUGGCAGUGGCUAGCUGGGUUAGAACCAUUUUCUGAAGCUUCAUGGUAGGUGCGGCGUAUAUUUUCCUGUUUUUUUGUCCUUUGCCAAUCACACCUAUGAUAUUUCUUUCAGGACCAGUACAAAUGUAGAAGGGGCCAGCAAAACUCUGAUCUACUGGCCCCGGCGGCCAGUGGGGAUUUUUUUUUUAUGUUGAGCCCUGCUCUGAGGAUAUGAUUACUCAAAACAUGCU